CACGUAGUUAGCCGGCGCUUCUUCUGCAGGUACCGUCACUUGCGCUUCUUCCCUGCUGAAAGAGGUUUACAACCCGAAGGCCGUCAUCCCUCACGCGGCGUCGCUGCAUCAGGCUUGCGCCCAUUGUGCAAUAUUCCCCACUGCUGCCCUCCCGUAGGAGUCUGGGCCGUGUCUCAGUCCCAGUGUGGCCGGUCGCCCUCUCAGGCCGGCUACCCGUCGUCGCCUUGGUGAGCCGUUACCUCACCAACAAGCUGAUAGGCCGCGGGCUCAUCCUGCACCGCCGGAGCUUUCCACCCAGAGACCAUGCGGUCCUGGGUCGUAUCCGGUAUUACGACCCCGGUUUCCAGGGCUUGUCCCAGAGUGCAGGGCAGAUUGCCCACGUGUUACUCACCCGUUCGCCACUAACUCCACCCCCGAACGGGGUCUUCAUCGUUCGACUUGCAUGUGUUAAGCACGCCGCCAGCGUCGUCCUGUAGCCAGGACGUCUAAACUCUCUCGAGACGUCGCCGAAC
RNAcentral lists this ribosomal RNA (512 nucleotides) under uncultured Actinomycetales bacterium. RNAcentral's name for it is "partial 16S ribosomal RNA". The record is from RNAcentral. Lineage: Bacteria; Bacillati; Actinomycetota; Actinomycetes; Actinomycetales.